Molecule: small nuclear RNA, 205 nt
Filed under: Ipomoea nil (Japanese morning glory)
Lineage: Eukaryota; Viridiplantae; Streptophyta; Magnoliopsida; Solanales; Convolvulaceae
Description: U2 spliceosomal RNA
Rfam family: U2 spliceosomal RNA
About the family: U2 is a small nuclear RNA (snRNA) component of the spliceosome (involved in pre-mRNA splicing). Complementary binding between U2 snRNA (in an area lying towards the 5' end but 3' to hairpin I) and the branchpoint sequence (BPS) of the intron results the bulging out of an unpaired adenosine, on the BPS, which initiates a nucleophilic attack at the intronic 5' splice site, thus starting the first of two transesterification reactions that mediate splicing.
Source: Rfam by way of RNAcentral
AUACCUUUCUCGGCCUUUUGGCUAAGAUCAAGUGUAGUAUCUGUUCUUAUCAGUUUAAUAUAUGAUACGUAAGCUAUUAGCUCACAUGAUAUUAACUCAUUUUGUUUAAGGGGAAGGCUCAUAGUGCUCAUUAAAGUAGCUUGCUACUUGGGCCUUAAUUUGUCGCCUUGGUAUUGCACUAUUACCUUGGCCUGGCAAACCUCAC